AGAGUUUGAUCCUGGCUCAGAUUGAACGCUGGCGGUAUGCUUAACACAUGCAAGUCGAACGGAAACGAUACUAGCUUGCUAGUAGGCGUCGAGUGGCGGACGGGUGAGUAACGCGUAGGAAUCUACCUAAUAGUGGGGGAUAGCCCGGAGAAAUCCGGAUUAAUACCGCAUAAUCUCUAUGGAGUAAAGGGGCCCUCUUCUUGAAAGGUUUCGCUAUCACAUGAGCCUGCGUAAGAUUAGCUAGUUGGUGAGGUAAAAGCUCACCAAGGCGACGAUCUUUAGCUGGUCUGAGAGGAUGAUCAGCCACACUGGGACUGAGACACGGCCCAGACUCCUACGGGAGGCAGCAGUGGGGAAUAUUGGACAAUGGGGGCAACCCUGAUCCAGCAAUACCGCGCUGUGGGAAGAAGGCCUGAGGGUUGUAAAGCACUUUCAAUUGUGAAGAAAAGUUAAUAGUUAAUAACUAUUAGACCUGACGGUAACUUUAGAAGAA
RNAcentral lists this ribosomal RNA (493 nucleotides) under uncultured marine bacterium. RNAcentral's name for it is "bacterial SSU rRNA". It matches the Rfam family "Bacterial small subunit ribosomal RNA", at positions 8 to 489 of the family's 1533-position model. The record is from RNAcentral.